UUUCCGUAGGUGAACCUGCGGAAGGAUCAUUCAUAAUAAGUGUUUUAUGGCACUUUUUUAAAUCCAUAUCCACCUUGUGUGCAAUGUCAGGGUUGAUUUUCCUCUCGAGAGGAUCAACCCCAAACAUCAACUAUAUCUCAACUCUUUGUCUGAAAAAUAUUAUGAAUAAAGCAAUUCAAAAUACAACUUUCAACAACGGAUCUCUUGGCUCUC
Molecule: unclassified non-coding RNA, 213 nt
Filed under: plant metagenome
Description: partial contains small subunit ribosomal RNA, internal transcribed spacer 1, and 5.8S ribosomal RNA
Source: RNAcentral